Molecule: long non-coding RNA, 224 nt
Filed under: Elaeis guineensis (African oil palm)
Lineage: Eukaryota; Viridiplantae; Streptophyta; Magnoliopsida; Arecales; Arecaceae
Description: long non-coding RNA (EGUI_LNC040646)
Source: RNAcentral
AGUUCGGCUUGGUGAUAUUGAUGAAGCUCAUAAGGACAAUAAUAGGAAAAGAUAGUGCCAAUACAACAAGCCUAUGUUUAGGUGAUAAGAGUAGAGAAGAGAGGAGAGAGAUUCGGAUUGAUCUAGUGUCAACUGAAUGACCACCAAUGAGAUUGACCAAAAUAGGGAUGGGGUGGUAAGACAUUCGAAGAGUAAAAUAGAAGGAUUUUGCAAUAGUCAUGGCA